GUCAUUGGAUAUGGGUUGCCCUUGGGAGGAAGAGUAAUGUUGGGGGCAAAGCAGUUUUUUGUUUUGUUUGUUUUUUUGUUCCAGUUGAGACCUAUCUGAAGAGGGUUGACAGCUAAGGUCUAUUUUCUGGCCGCAAAUAUGGGUUCUAAUCCUAGAGGAACCCAAAAGUUUGGAUGCCACACUGUCGUGAGAGCCACCAAGGACUUGGAGAGAGACACAUUGGUUCCCCAAGAGUGGGCGGGCUGCCCCACGAGAAAAGACACCAGAAACGGAUUCAUCUGGGCCUAUGGAAACAAAGUACCUAUACCCUGAAGUGAACAGAAUUAAAA
Long non-coding RNA from Neogale vison (American mink), 329 nucleotides. RefSeq lists it as uncharacterized. The transcript has 3 exons. The record is from RefSeq and is a predicted model, not a curated record. Lineage: Eukaryota; Metazoa; Chordata; Mammalia; Carnivora; Mustelidae.